UUAGAUACUUAAAAAUCUUGAAAGACCGGCGUGGUCACAUAAUGGAACGUAAAGAAGUUUCAGAUAUUGCAGCACAAAGAAAAAGGCCUAAUCUAACGCAAGAAAUGUACCAAACUGUAUACUAUUAUUUGCUAGAGAGAAAACUAUAAGUCGAAUUUGGCAUCGAGGACAGCAAUCCUUACGUGAAUGGUCAGUAUGUGCAAAUACAAAUUCGCGAAACUCUGGAAAAGUUGGCAGGAAACGAAACACCGUAGACAAGGGCGUCGCCAGCUUAUGACUAAGGGGGGGCAAUAUUAUGGAGGAUAAAAAAUAUGAACGCCUGGUACAGUCGAAAGCAUGAAGCGUUACACUUUGGAAGUCUUUGCCUCGAUGACGAUUGUAUUAAGAACGGUUCUGAUAUCAAUGUAUAAAACUGCACAUGCCCUCGAUAGCACAAUAACUAAAUCAAACUUUUAAA
This is a long non-coding RNA of Onthophagus taurus, 457 nucleotides long. RefSeq lists it as uncharacterized. Lineage: Eukaryota; Metazoa; Arthropoda; Insecta; Coleoptera; Scarabaeidae. The record is from RefSeq and is a predicted model, not a curated record.